This 2897-nucleotide ribosomal RNA is filed under the name Streptococcus pneumoniae GA02254. RNAcentral's name for it is "bacterial LSU rRNA". It matches the Rfam family "Bacterial large subunit ribosomal RNA". Lineage: Bacteria; Bacillati; Bacillota; Bacilli; Lactobacillales; Streptococcaceae. The record is from RNAcentral.
UAAGUUAAUAAGGGCGCACGGUGGAUGCCUUGGCACUAGGAGCCGACGAAGGACGUGACAAACGACGAUAUGCCUUGGGUAGCUGUAAGUAAGCGAUGAUCCAGGGAUUUCCGAAUGGGGGAACCCAACAGGUAAUACCUGCUACCUACAUCUGUUAAGGAUGUGAGGAGGAAGACGCAGUGAACUGAAACAUCUAAGUAGCUGCAGGAAGAGAAAGCAAAAGCGAUUGCCUUAGUAGCGGCGAGCGAAACGGCAGAAGGGCAAACCGAAGAGUUUACUCUUCGGGGUUGUAGGACUGCAAUGUGGACUCAAAGAUUAUAGAAGAAUGAUUUGGGAAGAUCAGCCAAAGAGAGUAAUAGCCUCGUAUUUAAAAUAGUCUUUGUACUUAGCAGUAUCCUGAGUACGGCGGGACACGUGAAAUCCCGUCGGAAUCUGGGAGGACCAUCUCCCAACCCUAAAUACUCCCUAGUGACCGAUAGUGAACCAGUACCGUGAGGGAAAGGUGAAAAGCACCCCGGGAGGGGAGUGAAAUAGAACCUGAAACCGUGUGCCUACAACAAGUUCGAGCCCGUUAAUGGGUGAGAGCGUGCCUUUUGUAGAAUGAACCGGCGAGUUACGUUAUGAUGCGAGGUUAAGUUGAAGAGACGGAGCCGUAGGGAAACCGAGUCUGAAUAGGGCGCCUUAGUAUCAUGACGUAGACCCGAAACCAUGUGACCUACCCAUGAGCAGGUUGAAGGUGCGGUAAGACGCACUGGAGGACCGAACCAGGGCACGUUGAAAAGUGCUUGGAUGACUUGUGGGUAGCGGAGAAAUUCCAAACGAACUUGGAGAUAGCUGGUUCUCUCCGAAAUAGCUUUAGGGCUAGCGUCGACAUUAGAGAUUCUUGGAGGUAGAGCACUGUUUGGGUGAGGGGUCCAUCCCGGAUUACCAAUCUCAGAUAAACUCCGAAUGCCAAUGAAUUAUGGUCGGCAGUCAGACUGCGAGUGCUAAGAUCCGUAGUCGAAAGGGAAACAGCCCAGACCACCAGCUAAGGUCCAAAAUAAUUGUUAAGUGGAAAAGGAUGUGGGGUUGCACAGACAACUAGGAUGUUAGCUUAGAAGCAGCUAUUCAUUCAAAGAGUGCGUAAUAGCUCACUAGUCGAGUGACCCUGCGCCGAAAAUGUACCGGGGCUAAAACAAUUUACCGAAGCUGUGGAUACCUUUAUAGGUAUGGUAGGAGAGCGUUCUAUGUGUGAUGAAGGUAUACCGUGAGGAGUGCUGGAACGCAUAGAAGUGAGAAUGCCGGUAUGAGUAGCGAAAGACAGGUGAGAAUCCUGUCCACCGUAAGACUAAGGUUUCCAGGGGAAGGCUCGUCCGCCCUGGGUUAGUCGGGACCUAAGGAGAGACCGAAAGGUGUAUCCGAUGGACAACAGGUUGAUAUUCCUGUACUAGAGUAUGUAGUGAUGGAGGGACGCAGUAGGCUAACUAAAGCAGACGAUUGGAAGAGUCUGUCUAAGCAGUGAGGUGUGAAUUGAGUCAAAUGCUUAAUUCUAUAACAUUGAGCUGUGAUGGGGAGCGAAGUUUAGUAGCGAAGUUAGUGACGUCACACUGCCAAGAAAAGCUUCUAGCGUUUAAACAUACUCUACCCGUACCGCAAACCGACACAGGUAGUCGAGGCGAGUAGCCUCAGGUGAGCGAGAGAACUCUCGUUAAGGAACUCGGCAAAAUGACCCCGUAACUUCGGGAGAAGGGGUGCUGACUUAAAGUCAGCCGCAGUGAAUAGGCCCAAGCAACUGUUUAUCAAAAACACAGCUCUCUGCUAAAUCGUAAGAUGAUGUAUAGGGGGUGACGCCUGCCCGGUGCUGGAAGGUUAAGAGGAGUGCUUAGCGUAAGCGAAGGUAUGAAUUGAAGCCCCAGUAAACGGCGGCCGUAACUAUAACGGUCCUAAGGUAGCGAAAUUCCUUGUCGGGUAAGUUCCGACCCGCACGAAAGGCGUAAUGAUUUGGGCACUGUCUCAACGAGAGACUCGGUGAAAUUUUAGUACCUGUGAAGAUGCAGGUUACCCGCGACAGGACGGAAAGACCCCAUGGAGCUUUACUGCAGUUUGAUAUUGAGUGUCUGUACCACAUGUACAGGAUAGGUAGGAGUCUAAGAGAUCGGGACGCCAGUUUCGAAGGAGACGCUGUUGGGAUACUACCCUUGUGUUAUGGCCACUCUAACCCAGAUAGGUGAUCCCUAUCGGAGACAGUGUCUGACGGGCAGUUUGACUGGGGCGGUCGCCUCCUAAAAGGUAACGGAGGCGCCCAAAGGUUCCCUCAGAAUGGUUGGAAAUCAUUCGCAGAGUGUAAAGGUAUAAGGGAGCUUGACUGCGAGAGCUACAACUCGAGCAGGGACGAAAGUCGGGCUUAGUGAUCCGGUGGUUCCGUAUGGAAGGGCCAUCGCUCAACGGAUAAAAGCUACCCUGGGGAUAACAGGCUUAUCUCCCCCAAGAGUUCACAUCGACGGGGAGGUUUGGCACCUCGAUGUCGGCUCGUCGCAUCCUGGGGCUGUAGUCGGUCCCAAGGGUUGGGCUGUUCGCCCAUUAAAGCGGCACGCGAGCUGGGUUCAGAACGUCGUGAGACAGUUCGGUCCCUAUCCGUCGCGGGCGUAGGAAAUUUGAGAGGAUCUGCUCCUAGUACGAGAGGACCAGAGUGGACUUACCGCUGGUGUACCAGUUGUCUUGCCAAAGGCAUCGCUGGGUAGCUAUGUAGGGAAGGGAUAAACGCUGAAAGCAUCUAAGUGUGAAACCCACCUCAAGAUGAGAUUUCCCAUGAUUAUAUAUCAGUAAGAGCCCUGAGAGAUGAUCAGGUAGAUAGGUUAGAAGUGGAAGUGUGGCGACACAUGUAGCGGACUAAUACUAAUAGCUCGAGGACUUAUCCA